GCCUACGGGGGGCAGCAGUGAGGAAUAUUGGUCAAUGGGCGAGAGCCUGAACCAGCCAAGUCGCGUGAGGGAGUACUGCCCUAUGGGUUGUAAACCUCUUUUGUCGGGGAGCAAAAGCCGGACGUGUCCGGCUGUGAGAGUACCCGAAGAAAAAGCAUCGGCUAACUCCGUGCCAGCAGCCGCGGUAAUACGGAGGAUGCGAGCGUUAUCCGGAUUUAUUGGGUUUAAAGGGUGCGCAGGCGGAUUUUUAAGUCAGCGGUCAAAUCGUGGGGCUCAACCCCGUCCAGCCGUUGAAACUGGUGAUC
This 305-nucleotide ribosomal RNA is filed under the name uncultured bacterium. RNAcentral describes it as "bacterial SSU rRNA". It matches the Rfam family "Bacterial small subunit ribosomal RNA", at positions 337 to 641 of the family's 1533-position model. The record is from RNAcentral.